This is a long non-coding RNA of Octopus sinensis (East Asian common octopus), 303 nucleotides long. RefSeq lists it as uncharacterized. The record is from RefSeq and is a predicted model, not a curated record. NCBI's taxonomy places the organism in Eukaryota, Metazoa, Mollusca, Cephalopoda, Octopoda, Octopodidae. The transcript is spliced from 4 exons.
CGUAUUUUGAAUUCUUUCUCUAGAGAGAGAGACAGAUAGAUAGAUAGAAAGUAAUAACGUGUGAAUGAGAAUAAUGACGAAGGGUUAAAAAACGUAAAAAUAAUUGAAAAUGAAACAAAAUUGAAGUCAAAACAUUAAAAAUUAUUGGAAGUGGGUAGAAAUAAACACUACGUAGUGUAGUAGUACUACGCUAGGGUAUCUGUAGAAAGUUGAAUGUGAUUUCGGAAUAUAAUUAGGAAAAAUUCGGAUCUUGGGAAUUUUCCGAAAGUCCUCUCCCCACCUCAAGAUUUUCCCCACAAAUUA